Molecule: ribosomal RNA, 164 nt
Filed under: uncultured bacterium
Lineage: Bacteria
Description: partial 16S rRNA
Rfam family: Bacterial small subunit ribosomal RNA
Source: RNAcentral
UAGGGAAUCUUCCACAAUGGACGCAAGUCUGAUGGAGCAACGCCGCGUGAGUGAAGAAGGGUUUCGGCUCGUAAAGCUCUGUUGUUAAAGAAGAACGUGGGUAAGAGUAACUGUUUACCCAGUGACGGUACUUAACCAGAAAGCCACGGCUAACUACGUGCUAG